RNAcentral lists this small RNA (180 nucleotides) under Williamsia sp. RNAcentral's name for it is "c-di-AMP sequence". It matches the Rfam family "c-di-AMP riboswitch aptamer (ydaO/yuaA leader)". Rfam says of the family: This family represents a conserved RNA structure found upstream of the ydaO and yuaA genes in Bacillus subtilis and related genes in other bacteria. The ydaO/yuaA element is thought to act as a genetic "off" switch for the ydaO and yuaA genes in its native state. Lineage: Bacteria; Bacillati; Actinomycetota; Actinomycetes; Mycobacteriales; Nocardiaceae. The record is from RNAcentral.
GUAGGGUCGCCGCUCAAUCACCGUCCUGGUGAACCGGGGAACCACUGAUGCGAAUGCGAGUUCACAUCCGGGGUGAAUCCCAUUGAACCCUGAGGUCUUCAGACUUCUGGGUUCACCGGGUAGGGCCAUCUUCCGGCCCGAAUCCGACAGCUAACCCGGUAGGCGGAUAGGGAAGAAACA